Non-coding RNA from Endozoicomonas numazuensis, 223 nucleotides. NCBI's taxonomy places the organism in Bacteria, Pseudomonadati, Pseudomonadota, Gammaproteobacteria, Oceanospirillales, Endozoicomonadaceae. The record is from Rfam.
AAAGUCCCUGUGGGGUAAGGCAGGCGAGCCGCCCCAGCCCCGAGUCAUGCGCCUGCUACCGUAAGGUAACCGGUGAAGCGUUGACAGGGGUGCCAGUAGGCUAAGUAUUGAGCUGCGAAAUCAAAUAGUUUGAGGUGCUGAUGUUGUUAUGUUCUGCAGAAAGCAAAAUCACCAAUUGCGCUAAAUCGCAAGUGGCUGGUGAACCUCACGCAGUCGUAGACCU